Chelonoidis abingdonii (Abingdon island giant tortoise) is the source of this 141-nucleotide non-coding RNA. The record is from RefSeq and is a predicted model, not a curated record. Lineage: Eukaryota; Metazoa; Chordata; Testudines; Testudinidae.
CCUUUCAUAUGACAAUUUUCCAAUUCCUCGAUUCAUCCUAGUAUGCCCGUCUCUGAACCUUGUUCCAGUUUUGAUUCAUCCUUCUUAAAACAUGGGACACCAGAACUGCACACCAUAUUUCCAGGUGGGGUCUCACCAGCG